UCCUGGCUCAGAUUGAACGCUGGCGGCAUGCCUUACACAUGCAAGUCGAACGGCAGCGGACCUUCGGGUGCCGGCGAGUGGCGAACGGGUGAGUAAUAUGUCGGAACGUACCUUUCAGUGGGGGAUAACGUAGCGAAAGUUACGCUAAUACCGCAUAUUCUGUGAGCAGGAAAGCAGGGGAUCGCAAGACCUUGCGCUGAUUGAGCGGCCGAUAUCAGAUUAGCUAGUUGGUGAGGUAAAGGCUCACCAAGGCGACGAUCUGUAGCGGGUCUGAGAGGAUGAUCCGCCACACUGGAACUGAGACACGGUCCAGACUCCUACGGGAGGCAGCAGUGGGGAAUUUUGGACAAUGGGCGCAAGCCUGAUCCAGCCAUGCCGCGUGAGUGAAGAAGGCCUUCGGGUUGUAAAGCUCUUUCGGCCGGGAAGAAAUCGCACAGGUUAAUACCCUGUGUGGAUGACGGUACCGGAAUAAGAAGCACCGGCUAACUACGUG
This 493-nucleotide ribosomal RNA is filed under the name uncultured bacterium. RNAcentral's name for it is "bacterial SSU rRNA". It matches the Rfam family "Bacterial small subunit ribosomal RNA", at positions 17 to 507 of the family's 1533-position model. The record is from RNAcentral.